GUAGGUGUAGUUUAAUUAAAACAUUAGAUUGUGAUUCUGAAAAAAAAGGUUGAAGUCCUUUCACCCACC
Molecule: transfer RNA, 69 nt
Filed under: Nerophis ophidion (straightnose pipefish)
Lineage: Eukaryota; Metazoa; Chordata; Actinopteri; Syngnathiformes; Syngnathidae
Description: tRNA-His
Rfam family: tRNA
About the family: Transfer RNA (tRNA) molecules are approximately 80 nucleotides in length. Their secondary structure includes four short double-helical elements and three loops (D, anti-codon, and T loops).
Source: RNAcentral